GACGAACGCUGGCGGCGUGCCUAAUACAUGCAAGUUGAGCGCUGAAGGUUGGUACUUGUACCAACUGGAUGAGCAGCGAACGGGUGAGUAACGCGUGGGGAAUCUGCCUUUGAGCGUGGGACAACAUUUGGAAACGAAUGCUAAUACCGCAUAAAAACUUUAAACACAAGUUUUAAGUUUGAAAGAUGCAAUUGCAUCACUCAAAGAUGAUCCCGCGUUGUAUUAGCUAGUUGGUGAGGUAAAGGCUCACCAAGGCGAUGAUUCAAAGCCGACCUGGGAGGGUGAUAGGCCAAAUUGGGACUGGGAAAACGCCCAAAAUCCUAAGGGAGGCAGCAGUAGGGAAUCUUCGGCAAUGGACGAAAGUCUGACCGAGCAACGGCGCGUGAGUGAAGAAGGUUUUCGGAUCGUAAAACUCUGUUGGUAGAGAAGAACGAUGGUGAGAGUGGAAAGCUCAUCAAGUGACGGUAACUAACCAGAAAGGGACGGCUAACUACGUG
Molecule: ribosomal RNA, 497 nt
Filed under: uncultured bacterium
Lineage: Bacteria
Description: partial 16S ribosomal RNA
Rfam family: Bacterial small subunit ribosomal RNA
Source: RNAcentral